GACGAACGCUGGCGGCGUGCUUAACACAUGCAAGUCGAACGGAAAGGCCCUGCUUUUGUGGGGUGCUCGAGUGGCGAACGGGUGAGUAACACGUGAGUAACCUGCCCUUGUCUUUGGGAUAACUUCAGGAAACUGGGGCUAAUACCGGAUAGGAGCUCCUGCUGCAUGGUGGGGGUUGGAAAGUUUCGGCGGUUGGGGAUGGACUCGCGGCUUAUCAGCUUGUUGGUGGGGUAGUGGCUUACCAAGGCUUUGACGGGUAGCCGGCCUGAGAGGGUGACCGGCCACAUUGGGACUGAGAGACGGCGCAGACUCCUACGGGAGGCAGCAGUGGGGAAUAUUGCACAAUGGGCGGAAGCCUGAUGCAGCGACGCCGCGUGCGGGAUGACGGCCUUCGGGUUGUAAACCGCUUUCGCCUGUGACGAAGCGUGAGUGACGGUAAUGGGUAAAGAAGCACCGGCUAACUACGUG
RNAcentral lists this ribosomal RNA (468 nucleotides) under uncultured bacterium. Its description in RNAcentral is "partial 16S ribosomal RNA". It matches the Rfam family "Bacterial small subunit ribosomal RNA", at positions 28 to 507 of the family's 1533-position model. The record is from RNAcentral.